This 379-nucleotide long non-coding RNA is filed under the name Brassica rapa (field mustard). Its description in RNAcentral is "long non-coding RNA (BRAP_LNC004917)". The record is from RNAcentral. Lineage: Eukaryota; Viridiplantae; Streptophyta; Magnoliopsida; Brassicales; Brassicaceae.
UCAUUUGCCUUCCAACUCGGCCAUACUGACAUUAUGCUCUUUAAUGAUGAGCUUGUCUGCAUUUUGGUUAUUUGAUUCUAUCUGAAGCCUCAUGAUGACUUCUUCAAAACUCAUUGGCUUUUUCUUGUGUUUCAGGUAGUUCUUGAAAGUCAGCCAUGUUAGAGAGAGCUUCUCGAUGAAGCAAAGAGUCAUGAAUAUCUCGCAGAUGGAUGUUCUUUCAACAAAAAUUUCAUGGCACAAAAGUUCCAAAGCUUCAACUUGAUCCAUGAUAGGUUUUGAACCCACCAUUUUAAAGUCAAGAAACUUCACAACUGGAAACUUUUGGCAUCCUUCAUCCUCACCUCUAUACUUCUUGUCCAAGGAUCGCCAUAGAUCUUUU